RNAcentral lists this ribosomal RNA (431 nucleotides) under Gonaxis latula. Its description in RNAcentral is "partial 16S ribosomal RNA". Lineage: Eukaryota; Metazoa; Mollusca; Gastropoda; Stylommatophora; Streptaxidae. The record is from RNAcentral.
AGCUUUUUGCAUAUAUAAAAAGUAACUACUGCUCAGUGAAUAUUUUAACAGCCGCAGUACCCUGACUGUGCUAAGGUAGCAUAAUAAUUUGACUUUUAAUUAGAGCCUAGAAUGAAUGGAACCAUGAAGGAGAUACUUUAUUAAAUAUAUAUAUAUAACUUAUUUAUUAGGUGAAAAUACCUAAGCUCUAAGAAAAUAGACGAGAAGACCCUUAGAAUUUUCACUACAAGAGAUUCUUCCAAACGUUUUUGUUGGGGUGACAAAUUAACAAAUUAACUUACUUAAACUUACAAGUCUAAUUAUAUGAUUGAUAAAAUUACCUAAGGGAUAACAGCAUAAUUUUUAUUUGAGAUUGUGACCUCGAUGUUGGACUAGGGUAUUAUAUGAUUAGAAAUCAUGUAUAUUAGUUCUGUUCGAACUUUUAAUCCCCU